This is a long non-coding RNA of Patella vulgata (common limpet), 239 nucleotides long. RefSeq lists it as uncharacterized. The record is from RefSeq and is a predicted model, not a curated record. NCBI's taxonomy places the organism in Eukaryota, Metazoa, Mollusca, Gastropoda, Patellidae. The transcript has 3 exons.
GUGGGCCUGGAUGUCAAGGGGUAUGGCCAGUCCAACUUAAACAGAGAUUUGGGGACAACUUUGUGGAUGUUAAUUGUAAUUCUGAUGAUGCAAUUUAACCAUACCUCUCAGGUGCCAAGUUGUUUAACAGUGGAUAGAGGGAUUCCUAAAACAACAAAUACCAGUUUGAAAGAAAAAAGAAACCCAGGUGGUGGUGGGAAGAAAUGUCCACAUAAGUCAUGGUCCCAAGCUGAAAAGAG